Ctenopharyngodon idella (grass carp) is the source of this 2844-nucleotide long non-coding RNA. RefSeq lists it as uncharacterized. Lineage: Eukaryota; Metazoa; Chordata; Actinopteri; Cypriniformes; Xenocyprididae. The transcript is spliced from 3 exons. The record is from RefSeq and is a predicted model, not a curated record.
GGUUGAAACACGAAACUUAAAGCGCGUAUUUUCCUGAAAGGUUACAAGAAAAUGAGCGGAGGAGACGUGAUGUGCUCGGGGUGGCUCAGAAAGUCUCCACCUGAAAAAAAGUUACGGCGUUAUAGGGGGAUUUCAGAUUUCCUCCCAGAUCUCCCACAAUACUUUGAGCUUGCUGCUUUUGGAGUCCAGGUCAUAGAGCAUGAAGACAAGGGAGACUGAAGAAUUUAUCCAAGAACUGAGAGUGUUUUAUUCUGACCUCUUUUCUGCUGGACCUUAUACUUUCAUGUCUUCCAGACCGCAAAUACUGAAAGUGGAUUCCAGAAUAAAGCAUUCCAGAAUAAAGCAUUCCAGAAUAAAGCAGUCCAAACCUCAUGUUAGGUUAUAGCUCACUUCUUUUUUUGUCCAUGCAAAGCAUAUUGUCUCUGAUGUUUUGCAGAAAAAAUGUAAGCACAUGGUGGCAAACUUUGUCAGGUGUUGAUAGAAAACCCUGCUUUCGCUUGAAUGUAUGAAAAUCUUUCCUCAAAAAAAAAAAAAAAAAUAGGUGAGAAUAAGGCAUUAAAGUUUGAAGUUGGACUCAUUCUGACUCAUUAUUCCCAUAAAUGUUCCUUUAGCUACUCAUUUGUGACCUGACCUGAGGAUCUUCCAUGUCACUAGCUAACGAAGUGGUUGUUUUUACUGUUGAGGUCAGUUUUGGCAAUUCCAGCGCUGGUGUCAGUAUAGUUCAUGUGAAGGUUAAAUGUUGCAGGUGGAAAAAAUGAUGACUAAGGUGAUAAUAUUCAAGUAAAACCGCAACAGGCCAACAAGACGCACAUGGAAAAUUAGAGUUUGGGAUUUCGCACAAGACUGAAGCAUUAUGGAGGCGCACCUUUCUUAUUAGUCACAGGUGAGUGAGUCUUUACUGUCUCUUGACAUCUAACGUCCUAAUGAUUGCUUUUAAAUAUAUAUAUCACUGCAGUGAACAUAUUCCUGCACACACUCAUUAAGAUAAUUAUGGAAAUCUGCAUAAAAAUGAAAAGAGAUGCACUUUCUGGGCGUUUUUUUUAUUUAGUUGACCAUUGAUUUUUUUUUUUUUUUUUAUAUAUCCAAAAAUUGUAGGAUGAAUGUGGAGAUUUCUAAAAGCUGAAACUGUUUAACCUGUAUUGCUUCACCCAUGAAAAGUUAUUUAGCAGGUGACCUCAUAAUAUGGCAGGUGCUUUAUAAAUCUCUCUAAAGCUGUUCUUCUAAAUGGUCUCCUCUUUUUGUGCAGCUAAGAGAAUCACUGUGUGAUAUAGCUUCAUUUCGGUGGGUCACUCUCGCAUUCGAUUAGAUUACACAGGCCUGGAAAACAUUAGAUUGUAAUGGGCUGGUGAGCUGCUCAGGGGGCAGAGCUUGAGUGCUUCAGAACUCUAUGCUUUGAAAUAUAUUACUGGAAUAAAGCACCCUUCUUCAAUUCAGUGGAUGCAAAUAUUUUAAAUUGUUGUGUUUGUCAAGUCUAGGCAUUUCAUUUUUGAUAACACAUGCCUUUUUUGUAUAAAAGAUUACCUUCACCCAAGGAAUGCUUCAUCCCAAAAUGAAAUUCUGUCAUCGUUGACUCACCUUCAUAUCAUUCUAAACCUGUAUAACAUUUCCAUGGAACACACAAGAUGAAUAUUUGAAGAAAAUACUGGCACUUUUCCUAAUAGUGAAAGUGAAAAUUUUUUCCAUAUGACUAAUGCACUGUUCCAAGUCUUCUAAAACCAUGCAAAACCAUAUAUUUCGGUAAUAUAUACUGAUAACCUCCACCACAACUCUGAAAUUGUCUACAGAAAUCUUAUUGAUUAUAAAAAUUACAUGUUGACAGUAUUUGAUGCCAAACAUCACUGGUUUUUGCAUUUCUUGAAACUAAAUGUCACAUCUAAUUUCUAAUGGCACCAUAUUUGCUGUAAGAGGUGCAGUGAUGGGGAAGAUUUUCAGUGAAUAACAACUUUGAGUAACAAAUUGUGGUCUGUUUGUCACACAAAGCCAAUCAUAAUGCUUCAGAAGAUGUAGUAGUUUUUAUUAAGAUAUCAUAAAGACUGUGCUUUAUCAUUUUAGAGCUUGACAGUCCCAGUCCCCAUUAAUUUUCAUUGUAUGGUAAAGAGUAGCCAUGGUAUUAAUUUAAAAAAAUAUUUUUGGAGUUCCGAAGAAAAAAGUCAGUUUUAGAUCCACAUGAGGAUGAGUAAAUGAUGACAGAAUUUAUAUUUUAGGCUGAACUAAUAUUAAAAUCUUUUUUUAAGUUGAGUUUUCUGACCCUAGGACGCUCCCAAAAAGUUGUUUUGCUUUCUUUUCUUUUCUUUCUUUUUUUUUUUUGUCUUUUUUUUUUUGAAGUGUUCUGUCAGCAUGAGUAUGUGUGUUUGUGUUUAUUUGUGCGCACACCCUUUCUCUGCUUCUGCCUUUAGUCCACCCUGGCCUCUCUGAUUUAGUGGUCGUGGUUUUAAGGCGUUCUGGGAGGGCCUGAUUACCCAUACACAGGAAGUUAGAGGUGGGAGAGGUCCCUCCAGAGUUCAAUGUAAAAAGACUGGUAUUUUUGAUAAAGACUCACUCGUGCUACACAUAACAGACACAUCCCUCUCGGCUCUGCCCUGACUGCCGUUGGAAACGGUGUUUGAAAGGCAUGGAAGAAGCGAUGGUUUGUUCUGCGCAGUGGGAGGCUGUCAGGAGACCCAGACGUGCUGGAGUAUUACAAGAAUGACCAUGCCAAGAAGCCCAUCCGCGUGAUCGAUCUGAACCUGUGCGAGCAGGUGGACGCCGGUCUCACCUUCAACAAGAAGGACCUGGAGCACAGCUUCAUCUUUGACAUCAAGACUAUCGACCGGAUCUUUUACCUGGUGGCAGACACUGAAGAGG